Mauremys mutica (yellowpond turtle) is the source of this 230-nucleotide long non-coding RNA. RefSeq lists it as uncharacterized. NCBI's taxonomy places the organism in Eukaryota, Metazoa, Chordata, Testudines, Geoemydidae. The record is from RefSeq and is a predicted model, not a curated record. The transcript has 3 exons.
GCACAGCUGAGGAAAGCAAAGGGACAAUCAGUGAGCAAAGUCAUUAAUAAAGGCCAAGAUCCUCAAAAGGUUCUUAUGCCACUGCUUAAUGCACUACUGGAAGGCAUUUGGGUAUGUGAUUAACAUAUGAGUAUGUGCUACUUCAGCUCGGGUUUGUCAGAUCCUGGACCUAUGACCGGUUAUGGCUGAGGGUGGGAGGAACACCGGACCAUCCACAUAUAGGAACCAGG